This 695-nucleotide ribosomal RNA is filed under the name Salmonella enterica subsp. enterica serovar Dublin. RNAcentral's name for it is "partial 23S ribosomal RNA". It matches the Rfam family "Bacterial large subunit ribosomal RNA", at positions 2248 to 2925 of the family's 2925-position model. The record is from RNAcentral. Lineage: Bacteria; Pseudomonadati; Pseudomonadota; Gammaproteobacteria; Enterobacterales; Enterobacteriaceae.
CGGACAGUGUCUGGUGGGUAGUUUGACUGGGGCGGUCUCCUCCUAAAGAGUAACGGAGGAGCACGAAGGUUGGCUAAUCCUGGUCAGACAUCAGGAGGUUAGUGCAAUGGCAUAAGCCAGCUUGACUGCGAGCGUGACGGCGCGAGCAGGUGCGAAAGCAGGUCAUAGUGAUCCGGUGGUUCUGAAUGGAAGGGCCAUCGCUCAACGGAUAAAAGGUACUCCGGGGAUAACAGGCUGAUACCGCCCAAGAGUUCAUAUCGACGGCGGUGUUUGGCACCUCGAUGUCGGCUCAUCACAUCCUGGGGCUGAAGUAGGUCCCAAGGGUAUGGCUGUUCGCCAUUUAAAGUGGUACGCGAGCUGGGUUUAGAACGUCGUGAGACAGUUCGGUCCCUAUCUGCCGUGGGCGCUGGAGAACUGAGGGGGGCUGCUCCUAGUACGAGAGGACCGGAGUGGACGCAUCACUGGUGUUCGGGUUGUCAUGCCAAUGGCACUGCCCGGUAGCUAAAUGCGGAAGAGAUAAGUGCUGAAAGCAUCUAAGCACGAAACUUGCCCCGAGAUGAGUUCUCCCUGAGACUUUAGGUCUCCUGAAGGAACGUUGAAGACGACGACGUUGAUAGGCCGGGUGUGUAAGCGCAGCGAUGCGUUGAGCUAACCGGUACUAAUGAACCGUGAGGCUUAACCUUACAACGCCGAAG